RNAcentral lists this long non-coding RNA (1116 nucleotides) under Homo sapiens (human). Its description in RNAcentral is "HSALNT0300381". Lineage: Eukaryota; Metazoa; Chordata; Mammalia; Primates; Hominidae. The record is from RNAcentral.
AAGGCCUGACAGUUAAGAGAACCCAGUGAAGAAACCUUUUGCAGAGAGAGAAAAGAACCCUUUUGAAUGUGAUCAAUCACGCUGAUUUAUUUGGAUGAUUUCUCUUCUGGAUUUCCUUAAACCAGGGAAAACCCAGGGACAGCAAUUGCUAUAAUUGAUGCAAACGAUCCCAGCCACACUCCCUGAUCCUGGUUCUGAAACUCAGAGAUGCAGCUGACCAGACUGAUGUGGCCAGCCUCACUCUGAAGGAUCCUGCAGCAGACAAAUUGCUGGAAUGUGUUCAGACGGAAUCCAGCUGCUACAACCGUCACACAAACUUCCUGAAAUAGAGGACAAAAGGUAGCAACUUGUCGCUUCUUGAGCCAAGAGAUUUAGGACAUGAGACCAAAUGAGAGAGAUUAAAAUAAAAAACGCAAGAAGUUAGUGAAAUGAGGAUUUAGCUCACCAGGCCAAAGCAGGCAGUCUUGGGUCUUUGCUGGACAGUUGUAGCUGCCAUAUAAGCUGUCCCUGCCAGGGCUGGGAUCUGGAGGCUGAUGCUGAAACCUCGGCCUGGAAAUGAUGCUGAUGAAGCAGGGCUCUGACAGCCCCUGCACUCUCAGAGGUCUGGGCAGCACAGAUGAAAUUAUCACUCCAAGAUCCUCAAAGCAUCCAGGAAAAAAGCACAUCUAGGAACAUUAGCUGAAUUUUGUAGAACACUAGUAAGCACCUAGUAGAUGCUCAGAAAAUGCAUAUUUUCCUUCCCUUUCCUGAAUUCCAGGGGCCUUGCUUGGUCUGUAUUAAUUACUAUAUCAGAGUCCUUAUUUGCAAGCGAAAGAAACCAACUCUAGUGGAUUUGAAUAUAAGACUAUUACUUCUUACUGAUUGUGAGGAAGGCUGGUGAAGCAGGCUUAUCGAAUGAGCAGGCGCUGGGAGGGUGUGCAGCUAGAACCAAUGGCCAAAAUCACCCUGCAGACCUCUCCCAGGGAGAUCCCUGUUGCUUCUGCCACUGAACAGCAGACAUCAGACCAUGCUGCACUGACUCCGUGGCACCAGGUCCUGGAACCUGGACGCCGACACGGUCCAGGACCCUCUACUCUCAUUUGAAAUCCAUGACACUAAGCCUUGCUGCUGCCCCAC